This 65-nucleotide transfer RNA is filed under the name Dipodomys ordii (Ord's kangaroo rat). It matches the Rfam family "tRNA". Rfam says of the family: Transfer RNA (tRNA) molecules are approximately 80 nucleotides in length. Their secondary structure includes four short double-helical elements and three loops (D, anti-codon, and T loops). Further hydrogen bonds mediate the characteristic L-shaped molecular structure. tRNAs have two regions of fundamental functional importance: the anti-codon, which is responsible for specific mRNA codon recognition, and the 3' end, to which the tRNAs corresponding amino acid is attached (by aminoacyl-tRNA synthetases). tRNAs cope with the degeneracy of the genetic code in two manners: having more than one tRNA (with a specific anti-codon) for a particular amino acid; and 'wobble' base-pairing, i.e. permitting non-standard base-pairing at the 3rd anti-codon position. The record is from Rfam by way of RNAcentral. Lineage: Eukaryota; Metazoa; Chordata; Mammalia; Rodentia; Heteromyidae.
GGUGGCUCAGUGGCAGAGCGCUUGCUUUGCAUGCAUGAAGCCCUAGGUUCAAUUCCUCAGCACCA